This 70-nucleotide transfer RNA is filed under the name Candidatus Woesearchaeota archaeon. Its description in RNAcentral is "tRNA-His". It matches the Rfam family "tRNA". From Rfam's summary of the family: Transfer RNA (tRNA) molecules are approximately 80 nucleotides in length. Their secondary structure includes four short double-helical elements and three loops (D, anti-codon, and T loops). Lineage: Archaea; Nanobdellati; Candidatus Woesearchaeota. The record is from RNAcentral.
CUGUAGUUCAAUGGUAGAAUAUGGGUCUGUGGAACCUAUGACGCGGGUUCGAUUCCCGCUGGUGGCCCCA